Molecule: long non-coding RNA, 2344 nt
Organism: Rosa chinensis
Lineage: Eukaryota; Viridiplantae; Streptophyta; Magnoliopsida; Rosales; Rosaceae
Exons: 2
Source: RefSeq, a predicted model, not a curated record
CUCGCUCUCCUCUCUUCUGCCUCCCCAAAAAAGAGAAUUCACUGUUCAAUUCUGAGACCCUCUCAAACUCUUCCCUAAUUUGGUCGCUAAAAUUGGUUUGGGCAAGAGCUAAUUUGGUUCCUAAAUUAGGUGAGAGUUUUAAGAGAGAGAGAGAGAUCGAGAUUGAUUGUCUUAGGGAUAAGGUUUGGAUUCAUAUUCUGUUAUUGGAUUUGAACGCUUUUGAUUUACGCGAGGGUCUUAUCUUCUGCGAAUUUGAUAAGGAAACGGUGAGCUCUUCUGGAUCCAGUGACGCCAAUAUGUUCGAUCCGGUUCUCCAGAAAGAGUUCCCCGAGAAUGAUCAGUCGCAAUUCAUUACGUCUCAGAUUCACACUUUCUUUUGUUGGUUUCGAUUCAUGGAGUGUACCUGUAUAUUUAAAUACAUGGAUAUUAUUAAAGCUCAUCACAACAGGGGAAGCAUUUCCUAUAUUCUCGAGUGAAUUUCAUCCUAAAGGGUUACAGUGGUUUUUACUUAAUAUAGCCUUUCCUGGUUGCUGAACUGCGGCAUCGUUUUUUCCAUUUUAUUUCUCGAGGAGGCUUGCUGGUGAUAGACGGGGGUGUUAUCCCUGCCUCCAGAUUUCAAUUAGUGCACAGCAGAUUUGGAAAGUAAUCAAAGAGAAACAAAGACCUGGAUCGUCCUGCUCACAAGGAUUGUUAGUUUCCUUUCCAGUUUUGUUUCCUAUCGGAAUAUAGUUCACGGUUUUGACUUCUCAUACGCAUGCAAUAUGUACAUGCAUUAUCUAUAAUUUAGUCAGGUUAUGUUGCUACUUUUCGGUGUGAAGAGAUUGCUAAUGGUUUUGACGUCUAAUGAAGUAUGUAUCCAUUUCUCUCCAUUGAGAGAUGCUUCUAUUUUUUAUGGUAUGAUUGUGAAAUUUUAUUGGCAAAACUUGAAUGAGCAUGAUGUAGGAUUAGUUGGCAUUGGAAGAAGCUAUGCAAAGUGGUCUGGUACCAAAUUUUGGCAAACAGCUCAGCUUCACCCUAGACACUUAAUUUUUUGACACAGAUAUGGCAUGGAGGCCAUCUACUUUGAUGCAGGUGUAAGGAACUCAAGACCACACCAAUUGUAAAUAAGAGCAUUGGAUGUAUGGCUACUCUCUCUAUGUCUCUAAUAUAACAGAUAUUGGUGAAGCUUUUCCAGUUUGAAACAGCUCCUGGAAAUCAGUUAUGUUUUUUGUUUCAUUGCCAUGCGUAUUGUAGUUUAAAUGUUGCUUUCGUAUGAACUUUCCAAUUUGUGUUCCCUGCAUAUACUACCAUGCUCAGGCAUCUACAUUCUAAAUUUAAUGCGUUGGAAAAUUUUAAAGUGAGACUGGAGCGGUCAUUAAACAAAGGAGAAAUAUUUGAGUUUGACUGUGGAUUUGCAGGUAGUGUUUGUAUAAUUGAAAUCAGGAGAUUUUGUUGCUUAUAGUUGAAUGAAUAAAUGGCUGAGAUUUUAUUGCUGGUGAUCAUCACAUAUUUGGGCAACACAUUGUUUUUGUUGUUUUUUAACAUACAUUUGAACCACCUUGAUGAUUCUCCCCUUCCUUACAUUAUACACAUGACAUGCACUGUUGAUUCCUUAUAUUAUUUGGAAGAGUCAGUUCUAGCUGUAUGACUACUAUGGUUUGAUUCCUGCUGGAUACACUUGAAACUUUUAGUUCAGUUACUACUCAUGGAACUUGAACAUACAGCUCCCUUGUUAUGGGCAUUGAAUUUUCCUUGAAUGAUUAGCCUUUAGUUUAGGUUUUGUUAGAGAGCUCUUCAUAACCUGAACUUUGUUUAAGUUUCUAAUAUGGUUAUCUCAAGAACUUUUUUUUUUCUCUCUAUUUAUCUGCAAACUUAUCAUUACUUGCUACAUAUUCAACUGGUAUCUAUUCUUAUUCCCUUCUACUGCUUCUUACUUUGUCUUAGCUAAUUAGGUGACCCUUUGUGAGGACGUGCAAGCAGUAACUUAAAAAGGAUGUGGAGUGAAAACCAACAACUGCUGUGAAUAAGGAACCAGCCAUAGACGCGGAGUUGGAACCAGCUAAGGUGGUGAAAUGGGAACCAGCAAAAGAUAUGGAGUUGAAACCUGCUAAGAAUGUGGAGUUGAAACCAUUAGAGGAUAGUUAUACAACGUGAGUGCAAUUAUACUACCCGCAGCAAAGCGCGGGAUCUCCAACUAGUAGAACCUAGUACAACGUGACAGCCAUCUGCAUUUUAUAGAGUUUUGCAGUCUGUUAGAAAAAAUCAAUUAUAAAAAUCAUGACAUGGCAAUCAGGCAACGUAGUCUGUUUUGCAGUUUCUGCUCUGGUUGUCUGCCUUUUAUGUCAUUAUAAGAAAUUUUUUGUUA